UACGAGUGCGUCAAGCGUUAUCCGGAAUCAUUGGGCGUAAAGGGUGUGUAGGCGGUUAUGUUAGUCUUGCGUUAAAUCUACUGGCUCAACCGGUAGGCUGCGUGGGAAACGGCAUGACUUGAGGAUGGUAGGGGUCUCUGGAACUCAUGGUGUAGCGGUGAAAUGCGUUGAUAUCAUGGGAACACCGAAGCGAAGGCAAGAGACUGGACCACUCCUGACGCUGAAACACGAAAGCGUGGGUCGCGAAUGGG
RNAcentral lists this ribosomal RNA (251 nucleotides) under uncultured bacterium. RNAcentral describes it as "partial 16S ribosomal RNA". It matches the Rfam family "Bacterial small subunit ribosomal RNA", at positions 524 to 776 of the family's 1533-position model. The record is from RNAcentral.